GUGAAGCAUCCUGUUAAGUCAGGCAACGAGCGAGACCCACGCCCACAGUUGCCAGCGUACUCUCUGGGAGUGACGGGUACACUGUGGGGGACCGCCGCUGCUAAAGCGGAGGAAGGAAUGGGCAACGGUAGGUCAGUAUGCCCCGAAUAUCCCGGGCUACACGCGAGCUACAAUGGUUGGUACAAUGGGUAUCUACCCGAAAGGGGAUGGGAAUCUCCUAAACCAAUCUUAGUUCGGAUUGAGGGCUGCAACUCGCCCUCAUGAAGCUGGAAUCCGUAGUAAUCGCGUUUCAACAGAACGCGGUGAAUACGUCCCUGCUCCUU
RNAcentral lists this ribosomal RNA (323 nucleotides) under uncultured Methanosaeta sp. RNAcentral's name for it is "bacterial SSU rRNA". It matches the Rfam family "Archaeal small subunit ribosomal RNA", at positions 1016 to 1338 of the family's 1478-position model. Lineage: Archaea; Methanobacteriati; Methanobacteriota; Methanomicrobia; Methanotrichales; Methanotrichaceae. The record is from RNAcentral.